This 200-nucleotide ribosomal RNA is filed under the name uncultured eukaryote. RNAcentral describes it as "partial 18S ribosomal RNA". It matches the Rfam family "Eukaryotic small subunit ribosomal RNA", at positions 587 to 800 of the family's 1831-position model. The record is from RNAcentral.
AGCUCCACUAGCGUAUAUUAAAGUUGUUGCAGUUAAAAAGCUCGUAGUUGAACUUCUGAUUGUUGCUUGAGUCGGUAUUUAUAUCGCUCUAGCGGCAGUCAUCCGUCUGCAAACUUUUACAUCCUUAACUGGUUUGUCUAAGGGAGCAGGCAUUUUACUUUGAAAAAAUUAGAGUGUUUAAGGCAGGCGCAAGCCUGAAU